Molecule: ribosomal RNA, 490 nt
Filed under: uncultured bacterium
Lineage: Bacteria
Description: partial 16S ribosomal RNA
Rfam family: Bacterial small subunit ribosomal RNA
Source: RNAcentral
AUUGAACGCUGGCGGCAGGCCUAACACAUGCAAGUCGAACGGUAACAGGAAACAGCUUGCUGUUUCGCUGACGAGUGGCGGACGGGUGAGUAAUGUCUGGGAAACUGCCUGAUGGAGGGGGAUAACUACUGGAAACGGUAGCUAAUACCGCAUAACGUCGCAAGACCAAAGAGGGGGACCCUCGGGCCUCUUGCCAUCGGAUGUGCCCAGAUUGGAUUAGCUUGUUGGUGGGGUAACGGCUCACCAAGGCGACGAUCCCUAGCUGGUCUGAGAGGAUGACCAGCCACACUGGAACUGAGACACGGUCCAGACUCCUACGGGAGGCAGCAGUGGGGAAUAUUGCACAAUGGGCGCAAGCCUGAUGCAGCCAUGCCGCGUGUAUGAAGAAGGCCUUCGGGUUGUAAAGUACUUUCAGCGGGGAGGAAGGGAGUAAAGUUAAUACCUUUGCUCAUUGACGUUACCCGCAGAAGAAGCACCGGCUAACUCCGUG